Molecule: ribosomal RNA, 465 nt
Filed under: Vreelandella stevensii
Lineage: Bacteria; Pseudomonadati; Pseudomonadota; Gammaproteobacteria; Oceanospirillales; Halomonadaceae
Description: partial 16S ribosomal RNA
Rfam family: Bacterial small subunit ribosomal RNA
Source: RNAcentral
CCUACGGGUGGCAGCAGUGGGGAAUAUUGGACAAUGGGCGAAAGCCUGAUCCAGCCAUGCCGCGUGUGUGAAGAAGGCCUUCGGGUUGUAAAGCACUUUCAGUGGGGAAGAAAGCCUUGGGGCUAAUACCCUCGAGGAAGGACAUCACCCACAGAAGAAGCACCGGCUAACUCCGUGCCAGCAGCCGCGGUAAUACGGAGGGUGCGAGCGGUAAUCGGAAUUACUGGGCGUAAAGCGCGCGUAGGCGGUCUGAUAAGCCGGUUGUGAAAGCCCCGGGCUCAACCUGGGAACGGCAUCCGGAACUGUCAGGCUAGAGUGCAGGAGAGGAAGGUAGAAUUCCCGGUGUAGCGGUGAAAUGCGUAGAGAUCGGGAGGAAUACCAGUGGCGAAGGCGGCCUUCUGGACUGACACUGACGCUGAGGUGCGAAAGCGUGGGUAGCAAACAGGAUUAGAUACCCUAGUAGUC